RNAcentral lists this small RNA (30 nucleotides) under Bombyx mori (domestic silkworm). RNAcentral's name for it is "ovarian small RNA-20819". Lineage: Eukaryota; Metazoa; Arthropoda; Insecta; Lepidoptera; Bombycidae. The record is from RNAcentral.
UACCUAAUCACCGGUAGCCUAAGGGGCUGU